This 497-nucleotide ribosomal RNA is filed under the name uncultured bacterium. RNAcentral's name for it is "partial 16S ribosomal RNA". It matches the Rfam family "Bacterial small subunit ribosomal RNA", at positions 28 to 508 of the family's 1533-position model. The record is from RNAcentral.
GAUGAACGCUGGCGGCGUGCCUAAUACAUGCAAGUCGAGCGAACGGACGAGAAGCUUGCUUCUCUGAUGUUAGCGGCGGACGGGUGAGUAACACGUGGAUAACCUACCUAUAAGACUGGGAUAACUUCGGGAAACCGGAGCUAAUACCGGAUGAUAUUUUGAACCGCAUGGUUCAAAAGUGAAAGACGGUCUUGCUGUCACUUAUAGAUGGAUCCGCGCUGCAUUAGCUAGUUGGUAAGGUAACGGCUUACCAAGGCAACGAUGCAUAGCCGACCUGAGAGGGUGAUCGGCCACACUGGAACUGAGACACGGUCCAGACUCCUACGGGAGGCAGCGUAGGGAAUCUUCCGCAAUGGGCGAAAGCCUGACGGAGCAACGCCGCGUGAGUGAUGAAGGUCUUCGGAUCGUAAAACUCUGUUAUUAGGGAAGAACAUAUGUGUAAGUAACUGUGCACAUCUUGACGGUACCUAAUCAGAAAGCCACGGCUAACUACGUGC